CUCAAUUCCCACUUUUUUCCAAAUUACAAAACCUAAUUUCAGUUUUCUUUUCGCACUUUGCCUCCAAUCGUCGCUUCAGUUCACCUACUCCAGUUAACCGUUUGUCGUUGUCAUCGUUGCGUCUCCACUGCACUGCACCGUGUCGCCGUGACUGGUCUGACAUUGUUCUUCGGUUGUCUUUUUUUUUUAUUUUAAUCUUCAGUUUUUUCUUUUUCUUCGUUUCCGCUCCCUCUCUAAGUUUUUUUCUCAUCCUUUCAGCUUCAGCCUUUAUCGUUGCUAUUGAGCUCCACCUCCUGCUCCACGACGGUCAACUUCCACCGUCGCUGCUCCAACAUUGGAAGUAAAGUUUUGAAAUUUCACAUUUUUUUUGGGAUUAUUGUUGUGUUGUUUUGUUGCUUUGUUGUUGCUUUGUGAAUGUAAUCUCACAUACAUUUUAACUUAACUGAAACUUAAAUUCUUAAUAUG
Molecule: long non-coding RNA, 465 nt
Filed under: Phaseolus vulgaris (common bean)
Lineage: Eukaryota; Viridiplantae; Streptophyta; Magnoliopsida; Fabales; Fabaceae
Description: long non-coding RNA (PVUL_LNC003626)
Source: RNAcentral